CCUUCGGGGUUAGUGGCAGACGGGUGAGUAACGCGUGGGAACCUACCUAUAAGUACGGAACAACACAGAGAAAUGUGUGCUAAUACCGUAUGUGCUCUUUGGAGUAAAGAUUUAUCGCUUAUAGAUGGGCCCGCGUUAGAUUAGCUAGUUGGUAAGGUAACGGCUUACCAAGGCGACGAUCUAUAGCUGGUCUGAGAGGAUGAUCAGCCACACUGGGACUGAGACACGGCCCAGACUCCUACGGGAGGCAGCAGUGAGGAAUAUUGGACAAUGGGGGCAACCCUGAUCCAGCCAUGCCGCGUGAGUGAUGACGGCCUUAGGGUUGUAAAGCUCUUUCGCUAGGGAAGAUAAUGACGGUACCUAGUAAAGAAGCCCCGGCUAACUUCGUGCCAGCAGCCGCGGUAAUACGAAGGGGGCUAGCGUUGUUCGGAAUCACUGGGCGUAAAGCGCACGUAGGCGGACUUUUAAGUCAGGGGUGAAAUCCCGAGGCUCAACCUCGGAACUGCCUUUGAUACUGGAAGUCUUGAGUUCGAGAGAGGUAAGUGGAAUACCGAGUGUAGAGGUGAAAUUCGUAGAUAUUCGGUGGAACACCAGUGGCGAAGGCGG
This 606-nucleotide ribosomal RNA is filed under the name Cohaesibacter gelatinilyticus. RNAcentral describes it as "bacterial SSU rRNA". It matches the Rfam family "Bacterial small subunit ribosomal RNA", at positions 83 to 724 of the family's 1533-position model. The record is from RNAcentral. Lineage: Bacteria; Pseudomonadati; Pseudomonadota; Alphaproteobacteria; Hyphomicrobiales; Cohaesibacteraceae.